Molecule: ribosomal RNA, 497 nt
Filed under: uncultured bacterium
Lineage: Bacteria
Description: partial 16S ribosomal RNA
Rfam family: Bacterial small subunit ribosomal RNA
Source: RNAcentral
GACGAACGCUGGCGGCGUGCCUAAUACAUGCAAGUUGAGCGCUGAAGGUUGGUACUUGUACCUACUGGAUGAGCAGCGAACGGGUGAGUAACGCGUGGGGAAUCUGCCUUUGAGCGGGGGACAACAUGUGGAAACGAAUGCUAAUACCGCAUAACAACUUUAAACACAAGUUUUAAGUUUGAAAGAUGCAAUUGCAUCACUCAAAGAUGAUCCCGCGUUGGAUUAGCUAGUUGGUGAGGUAAAGGCGCACCAAGGCGAUGAUACAUAGCCGACAUGAGAGGGUGAUCGGCCACAUUGGGACUGAGACACGGCCCAAACGCCUACGGGAGGCAGCAGUAGGGAAUCUUCGGCCAUGGACGAAAGUCUGACCGAGCAACGCCGAGUGAGUAAAGAAGGUUUUCGGAUCGUAAAACUCUGUUGGUAGAGAAGAACGUUGGUGAGAGUGGAAAGCUCAUCAAGUGACGGUAACUACCCAGAAAGGGACGGCUAACUACGUG